GGGCCCGUGGGGUAGCUUGGCAUCCUUGACGGCUGGGGGCCGUUAGACCCCGAUUCAAAUUCGGGCGGGCCCACCA
RNAcentral lists this transfer RNA (76 nucleotides) under Marine Group III euryarchaeote CG-Bathy2. Its description in RNAcentral is "tRNA-Pro". RNAcentral also lists the same sequence under 1 other name. Lineage: Archaea; Methanobacteriati; Thermoplasmatota; Thermoplasmata; Candidatus Thermoprofundales. The record is from RNAcentral.